CAAUGGAGGACAAUUGCGGGCGCCGGUAGUUACGCAACAGCGGCGAAAUGCAUAUUUUAAUGGCCGGCAGGAGAGGCACUGCGACGCCUGUGGCGCGCGCAGUCAUAAUUACGCGAAUUGCAAGUUCCGGGACUAUGUGUGCAGCAAGUGUCAGCGUACAGGCCAUUUGCGGCGGGUGUGCCCGGACUGGGGCUCGGCACCGGGAACCGCGGGCCGUGGAGGAGCGCGGGCGCCGGCCCGGCGCGGAGGGGCAGCGGCGGCGACGCCGGCGCGGAGUGCCAUGCAUUUUGGGGUGGCCGAUCACGAACCGAGUGAGGAUUACGGCGGAGACAUCGAGGAAGAAUUACAUCACCUAUGUUUAAAUAACUACCCGGCGAUAUGAGGCGUUGUUCAGCGAUGGACUGGGCCGGUACAAGGGCGGCAAGGCGACCUUGAGGGUGCGGGAGGGCGCAGCACCGGUGUUCCAUCGCGCACGCCCGAUGCCGUACGCGCUGCGCGAGCGCGUGGACGCCGAACUGGACGCCAUGCUGAGCGCCGGCGUCAUCGAACCCGUCGACUGCUCGGACUGGGCGUCACCACUGGUACCUAUUAAUAAGCCGGACGGCUCCCUUAGAAUUUGUGCAGACUAUAAAACUACCUUAAACCCGUAUUUGUUGGUUGAUCGGUAUCCUCUCCCUAAAAUAGAAGAUGUUCUUGUAAAUUUAAAUGGCAAUAUGUACUUUAGUAAAAUAGAUCUUUCACAAGCGUACAACCAAAUUGAACUGGACGAGUCUAAAUGUUAUACGGUUAUUAACACCCACCGAGGGCUGUUUCAGUAUAACAGACUGGUGUACGGCUUAUCAUCUAGUGUAGGAAUAUUUCAGCGUAUUAUGAUAAAUUUAUUGGGUAAUAUACCUAAUGUACAAAUAUUUUUAGACGAUGUAAUUAUCGGGGGCAAAACUAAAUCGGAACAUCUACACGCUUUAGAAGCGGUUUUUCAGCGUUUACUUACUAACGGAUUGAA
This is a long non-coding RNA of Cydia splendana, 1003 nucleotides long. RefSeq lists it as uncharacterized. NCBI's taxonomy places the organism in Eukaryota, Metazoa, Arthropoda, Insecta, Lepidoptera, Tortricidae. The transcript has 2 exons. The record is from RefSeq and is a predicted model, not a curated record.